RNAcentral lists this long non-coding RNA (496 nucleotides) under Capsella rubella. RNAcentral describes it as "long non-coding RNA (CRUB_LNC000156)". The record is from RNAcentral. Lineage: Eukaryota; Viridiplantae; Streptophyta; Magnoliopsida; Brassicales; Brassicaceae.
CAUGGCGUUGAACCAAUAAAUGGCUUUUAUAGUGUUUUUUGGGGUAAUAAUAUGUUAGAAUAAAAUAAAUUUGAUUGAUUACAAGUGCUAGAGAUGCAUGAAGAGUGUUUAGAAGAGUGUAGAAAGACUUUGCUGAAAUUUGGUCAGAAAUGGGCUAAGAACCCACAACCAUUGCUUUCAAACAUUAAAUGGCUUGUCUAGUGUUUUUUGGGGUUAGAAUAUGUUAGAAUACAAUAAGUUAGAUUGAUUACAAGUGCUAGAGCAUCAUGAAGAGUGUUUAGAAGUUUGGAGAAAGACUUGUUGAAAUUUGGUCCCAAAUGGGCUAAGAACUCGAAAACAUUGCGUUGCACCACUAAAUGGCUUGUUUAGUGUUCUUUGGGGUUAGAAUAAGUUAGACUACAUUGAAUUUAAUUGAUUACAAGUUCUAGAGAUGCAUAAAGAGUGUUUAGAAGAGUGUAGAAAGACUUGCUGAAAUUUGGGCCGAAAUGGGCUAAGA